UGGCUGUCGUCAGCUCGUGUCGUGAGAUGUUGGGUUAAGUCCCGGCCAACGAGCGCAACCCUUAUCAUUAGUUGCUACGCAAGGGCACUCUAAUGAGACUGCCGGUGACAAACCGGAGGAAGGUGGGGAUGACGUCAAGUCCUCAUGGCCCUUAUGGGUAGGGCUUCACACGUCAUACAAUGGUCGGUACAGAGGGUUGCCAAGCCGCGAGGCGGAGCCAAUCCCACAAAGCCGAUCGUAGUCCGGAUUGUUCUCUGCAACUCGAGAGCAUGAAGUCGGAAUCGCUAGUAAUCGCAGGUCAGCAUACUGCGGUGAAUACGUUCCCGGGUCUU
This 332-nucleotide ribosomal RNA is filed under the name uncultured Thiobacillus sp. RNAcentral describes it as "bacterial SSU rRNA". It matches the Rfam family "Bacterial small subunit ribosomal RNA", at positions 1046 to 1382 of the family's 1533-position model. Lineage: Bacteria; Pseudomonadati; Pseudomonadota; Betaproteobacteria; Nitrosomonadales; Thiobacillaceae. The record is from RNAcentral.